AUGAACGCUGGCGGCGUGCCUAAUACAUUCCAGUCGCGCGAACAGACGAGGAGCUUGCUCCUCUGACGUUAGCGGCGGACGGGGGAGUAACACGUGGAUAACCUACCUAUAAGACUGGGAUAACUUCGGGAAACCGGAGCUAAUACCGGAUAAUAUAUUGAACCGCAUGGUUCAAUAGUGAAAGACGGUUUUGCUGUCACUUAUAGAUGGAUCCGCGCCGCAUUAGCUAGUUGGUAAGGUAACGGCUUACCAAGGCAACGAUGCGUAGCCGACCUGAGAGGGUGAUCGGCCACACGGGAACUGGGACACGGUCCAGACUCCUACGGGAGGCAGCAGUAGGGAAUCUUCCGCAAUGGGCGAAAGCCUGACGGAGCAACGCCGCGUGAGUGAUGAAGGUCUUCGGAUCGUAAAACUCUGUUAUUAGGGAAGAACAAAUGUGUAAGUAACUAUGCACGUCUUGACGGUACCUAAUCAGAAAGCCACGGCUAACUACGUG
RNAcentral lists this ribosomal RNA (496 nucleotides) under uncultured bacterium. RNAcentral's name for it is "partial 16S ribosomal RNA". It matches the Rfam family "Bacterial small subunit ribosomal RNA", at positions 29 to 507 of the family's 1533-position model. The record is from RNAcentral.